Molecule: long non-coding RNA, 250 nt
Organism: Arabidopsis thaliana (thale cress)
Lineage: Eukaryota; Viridiplantae; Streptophyta; Magnoliopsida; Brassicales; Brassicaceae
Product: other RNA
Exons: 1
Source: RefSeq
CCAAUAACGUAGAGACUGUCCCGACCCGAUAUUCAAUAUAUUUCUGAAUGCUCACAUAGUCACAUAAUCUUUAAUAAUUGUAAUCAGUGGGACAUUGAUUCUCUAACCACUUCUUCGGCGAUGAAUUUUUCUAGACUAAACGAGUAACUAGUUAAUAGUAAAAUUUAGAGUAAUUGGCUGCACUGCACCCAUGGCCAUCAUGAGUCACCUAAAUUACAUUAAAUUGAAUGUAUCUCUCUUUCUUCAUCUU